ACUCCCAGCUCUGUGGCUGGAGAAGCUGUUUAUGAACUCUGCGUGUCGGAACCCUGGCAGCCCAGCUGCCCCAGCUGGGACUUUUCACAGACGACCCAGUGGGCAGGAAGAGUUUCUUGCUUCUAUCCCAGGCUGUCUUGACAUUACUAGCCUCAUGUCUGGUAUUUGGGAGACAAGCAGAAGUUGUGUGGACCCAGAGAUGAGGAGGAGCACUCAAACACUCAACAGAGAGAAGAGAAGCCCAGCCGAGAACCCAUGCUCCAGAAGAACGCAAAUAAAGCCCCCCCCCCAGAUGCCAGGGAUGCAGGGAUCGUAAGCUCAGGAAAGGGGGUGGGCUCCAUGACCAAUUCUUGAAAAAGACGGAGUAGCUGGAUUUUCACAGGCUUGGAAGUCAGGGCAGGCAUAGGUGUAGGACAUGUGGUAAAAUUUUAUUUUAUUUUAUUUUUUAUUUUUAAGGGAAAUGUGUUUCUUUUUUCUAGAAUUUCGCAUCCCUAGUUGAGCUUGUUUCUAACUUGUUAAGGGGGACUUGGUGUUUACCCUAUAAAAGACCAGUGUACCACAAAAGCCUCUCAGAGGCUGAAGGGGUGCCAUAAAAACUCCCUA
Molecule: long non-coding RNA, 603 nt
Organism: Mesocricetus auratus (golden hamster)
Lineage: Eukaryota; Metazoa; Chordata; Mammalia; Rodentia; Cricetidae
Exons: 2
Source: RefSeq, a predicted model, not a curated record